GGUUUUUUAUAAUAUUCUGAAAUAUUUUUUUUCUAUUUUUUGGUUUUACAGGGCAACAUGUUUUUGAAGAAGGUUCAUUCCUAAUGUCAAAUUGGUGGCAGAAUUAUCCUAAUUCCUUUCUACAUUGAUAUCUUUCUUUUUUAAGUUAUUUUUGUAAUUUUAAAUCUUGACAAAUUUUAAUCCUUCUUUUUGGGUGAAACUAAUUAGUUUACUAUAUGUAAGCUUUUCAUACGGAAUAAUACCUCUGUUAUUUUCUCUUAUUUGAUUUCUAAAUUUUUCU
Molecule: long non-coding RNA, 280 nt
Filed under: Gossypium raimondii (Peruvian cotton)
Lineage: Eukaryota; Viridiplantae; Streptophyta; Magnoliopsida; Malvales; Malvaceae
Description: long non-coding RNA (GRAI_LNC002015)
Source: RNAcentral